RNAcentral lists this ribosomal RNA (254 nucleotides) under uncultured bacterium. RNAcentral's name for it is "partial 16S ribosomal RNA". It matches the Rfam family "Bacterial small subunit ribosomal RNA", at positions 524 to 776 of the family's 1533-position model. The record is from RNAcentral.
CACGUAGGGGACAAGCGUUGUCCGGAAUUAUUGGGCGUAAAGAGCUCGUAGGCGGUCUGUCGCGUCGAUCGUGAAAACUUGGGGCUUAACCCUGAGCUUGCGGUCGAUACGGGCAUGACUGGAGUUCGGCAGGGGAGACUGGAAUUCCUGGUGUAGCGGUGAAAUGCGCAGAUAUCAGGAGGAACACCGGUGGCGAAGGCGGGUCUCUGGGCCGAUACUGACGCUGAGGCGCGAAAGCCAGGGGAGCGAACGGG